UUGGAGUUUGCUGAUGACUUAGUGUAAUAGGUACUACUGUAUUAUUAUCUUCAUUUUACAGAUGAGAAAACUGAGGCUUGGAGAGGUUCAGUGACUUGCCAUGAAAAUUUGAAAUUGUCUUCUUGACUCUGAAGCUCACACUCUAUCCAUUAUUCCUUGCUUUUCUUUUAUAAAGUAAGGAGCAUUGGAUAUCCCAAGCAAUGAUCACAGAAUCUACAUGUGCUAACAACUGGAUCAAGCUAAAACACUGCUUCACCUCCUUAAGCUGUGAUCUCAUUAGAGCUUAGAAGCAGAAGAGCACAGAGCACAGUGAGUAUACAGAUGGGAGGUUGCCAAAGAAAGGAUAUGCUACUGGCAAUUCAUUUG
RNAcentral lists this long non-coding RNA (366 nucleotides) under Phascolarctos cinereus (koala). RNAcentral's name for it is "lncRNA (ENSPCIG00000006781.2)". Lineage: Eukaryota; Metazoa; Chordata; Mammalia; Diprotodontia; Phascolarctidae. The record is from RNAcentral.